AUUUCCAAGGUACCAUCUCACUAACAUUAUUAUACACGAAUGGCACAAAAUACACGGUAAGAAUCGAUAACACACUGGGUGAAGAAUUCCAAGUAGUGACAGGCCUAAAACAGGGUGACGCCUUGUCGUAUUUAUUGUUUAAUAUCACACUAGUGAAAGCUGUACCUAACCAAAGUGUAUAGAUGUAUGAUAAUAAUAAGAUUAACCCUAACUUAUGGG
This is a non-coding RNA of Cinara cedri, 219 nucleotides long. Lineage: Eukaryota; Metazoa; Arthropoda; Insecta; Hemiptera; Aphididae. The record is from the annotation of a GenBank genome assembly.